AGACGAGAAGACCCUGUGGAACUUAAAAAUCAACGGCCACCGCGAACCUAAGACUAAACCCACCGGGGCUACAGACAUCGCAGAGCAUGGCCGAUAUUUUUCGGUUGGGGCGACCUUGGAGAACAACAGAUCCUCCAAAAACAAGACCACACCUCUUUACUUAGAGCCACCCCUCAAAGUGCUAAUAGUGACCAGACCCAAUAUAAUUGAUUAAUGGACCAAGCUACCCCAGGGAUAACAGCGCAAUCCCCCUCAAGAGCCCCUAUCGACAGGGGGGUUUACGACCUCGAUGUUGGAUCAGGACAUCCUAAUGGUGCAGCCGCUAUUAAGGGUUCGUUUGUUCAACGAUUAAUAGUCCUACGUGAUCUGAGUUCAGACCGGAGCAAUCCAGGUCGGUUU
This 399-nucleotide ribosomal RNA is filed under the name Anas platyrhynchos (mallard). RNAcentral's name for it is "partial 16S ribosomal RNA". It matches the Rfam family "Bacterial large subunit ribosomal RNA", at positions 2079 to 2637 of the family's 2925-position model. Lineage: Eukaryota; Metazoa; Chordata; Aves; Anseriformes; Anatidae. The record is from RNAcentral.